RNAcentral lists this transfer RNA (69 nucleotides) under Mephitis mephitis (striped skunk). Its description in RNAcentral is "tRNA-Glu". It matches the Rfam family "tRNA". Rfam says of the family: Transfer RNA (tRNA) molecules are approximately 80 nucleotides in length. Their secondary structure includes four short double-helical elements and three loops (D, anti-codon, and T loops). Lineage: Eukaryota; Metazoa; Chordata; Mammalia; Carnivora; Mephitidae. The record is from RNAcentral.
GUUUCUGUAGUUGAAUAACAACGGUGGUUUUUCAUAUCGCUAGUCAUGGUUAGACUCCAUGUGGAAAUA